Molecule: ribosomal RNA, 460 nt
Filed under: uncultured bacterium
Lineage: Bacteria
Description: partial 16S ribosomal RNA
Rfam family: Bacterial small subunit ribosomal RNA
Source: RNAcentral
CCUACGGGAGGCAGCAGUGAGGAAUAUUGGUCAAUGGACGCAAGUCUGAACCAGCCAUGCCGCGUGCAGGAAGACGGCUCUAUGAGUUGUAAACUGCUUUUGUCCAGGGGUAAACGUGGAUACGUGUAUUCAGCUGAAAAGACUUUACGAAUAAGGAUCGGCUAACUCCGUUCCAGCCGCCGCGGUAAUACGGAGGAUCCAAGCGUUAUCCGGAUUUAUGGGGUUUAAAGGGUGCGUAGGCGGAUUGAUAAGUUAGAGGUGAAAUGGCCGGGCGAAACGCGGGAACUGCCUCUCAUACUGGUGAGCUAGAGAGUAGAUGCGGGAGGAGGAAUGUAUGGUGUAGCGGUGAAAUGCUUAGAGAUCAUACAGAACACCGAUUGCGAAGGCAGCUUACCAAUCGAUAUUUGACGCUGAGGCACGAAAGCGUGGGGAGCAAACAGGAUUAGAUACCCCUGUAGUC